CCGAUGGNGAAGGCAGCCCCCUGGGAUAAUACUGACGUUCAUGCUCGAAAGCGUGGGUAGCAAACAGGAUUAGAUACCCUGGUAGUCCACGCCCUAAACGAUGUCGAUUAGCUGUUGGGCAGCUUGACUGCUUAGUAGCGUAGCUAACGCGUGAAAUCGACCGCCUGGGGAGUACGGUCGCAAGAUUAAAACUCAAAGGAAUUGACGGGGACCCGCACAAGCGGUGGAUGAUGUGGAUUAAUUCGAUGCAACGCGAAGAACCUUACCUGGUCUUGACAUGUACGGAACCUUCCAGAGACGGAAGGGUGCCUUCGGGAGCCGUACCACAGGUGCUGCAUGGCUGUCGUCAGCUCGUGUCGUGAGAUGUUGGGUUAAGUCCCGCAACGAGCGCAACCCUUGUCAUUAGUUGCCAUCAUUCAGUUGGGCACUCUAAUGAGACUGCCGGUGACAAACCGGAGGAAGGUGGGGAUGACGUCAAGUCCUCAUGGCCCUUAUGACCAGGGCUUCACACGUCAUACAAUGGUCGGUACAAAGGGUAGCCAAGCCGCGAGGCGGAGCCAAUCUCAUAAAACCGAUCGUAGUCCGGAUUGCACUCUGCAACUCGAGUGCAUGAAGUCGGAAUC
This 623-nucleotide ribosomal RNA is filed under the name uncultured bacterium. RNAcentral's name for it is "bacterial SSU rRNA". It matches the Rfam family "Bacterial small subunit ribosomal RNA", at positions 709 to 1333 of the family's 1533-position model. The record is from RNAcentral.